Molecule: long non-coding RNA, 502 nt
Filed under: Homo sapiens (human)
Lineage: Eukaryota; Metazoa; Chordata; Mammalia; Primates; Hominidae
Description: HSALNT0134381
Source: RNAcentral
GGCGGCUCACUCAGGACCCAGCGGGGGCAGCGCGAUGAGGCGGGUGACCCUGUUCCUGAACGGCAGCCCCAAGAACGGAAAGUGUAAGAGACUUAAAUGAAUAUGACUGUCACACAAAAAAGGUGUGUCCUACUUCAACACUCAACAUUCAAGAAAUAUUUGUCAAAGACCUGCUGUAAGCCAGGUGGUUGCUGUAUAUGGAACUUUAUCUGAUUUGCUUUCUGUGGCCAGCAGUAAACUCGGCAUAAAAGCCACCAGUGUGUAUAAUGGGAAAGGUGGACUGAUUGAUGAUAUUGCUUUGAUCAGGGAUGAUGAUGUUUUGUUUGUUUGUGAAGGAGAGCCAUUUAUUGAUCCUCAGACAGAUUCUAAGCCUCCUGAGGGAUUGUUAGGAUUCCACACAGACUGGCUGACAUUAAAUGUUGGAGGGCGGUACUUUACAACUACACGGAGCACUUUAGUGAAUAAAGAACCUGACAGUAUGCUGGCCCACAUGUUUAAGGAC